RNAcentral lists this ribosomal RNA (555 nucleotides) under Mortierella sp. RNAcentral describes it as "LSU rRNA". It matches the Rfam family "Eukaryotic large subunit ribosomal RNA", at positions 76 to 646 of the family's 3401-position model. Lineage: Eukaryota; Fungi; Mortierellomycota; Mortierellomycetes; Mortierellales; Mortierellaceae. The record is from RNAcentral.
UGCCUCAGUAACGGCGAGUGAAGCGGCAACAGCUCAAAUUUGAAAUCUGGCCCUUUCAGGGUCCGAGUUGUAAUUUGGAGAAGAUGCUUCGGGUGUGGCCCCGGUCUAAGUUCCUUGGAACAGGACGUCAUAGAGGGUGAGAAUCCCGUACGUGACCGGUGGCCUCCCCCGUGUGAAGCUCUUUCGACGAGUCGAGUUGUUUGGGAAUGCAGCUCAAAAUGGGUGGUAAAUUUCAUCUAAAGCUAAAUAUUGGCCAGAGACCGAUAGCGCACAAGUAGAGUGAUCGAAAGAUGAAAAGCACUUUGGAAAGAGAGUUAAACAGUACGUGAAAUUGUUGAAAGGGAAGCGCUUGCAACCAGACUUGCGCGCGGCCGAUCAUCUGGUGUUCUCACCGGUGCACUCGGCCGCGCUCAGGCCAGCAUCGGUUUGGGUGGCUGGAUAAAGGCCUCGGGAAUGUGGCUCUCUUCGGGGAGUGUUAUAGCCCGAGGUGCAAUGCAGCCUACCCGGACCGAGGACCGCGCUUCGGCUAGGAUGCUGGCGUAAUGGUUGUAAGCG